Molecule: unclassified non-coding RNA, 238 nt
Filed under: uncultured Hebeloma
Lineage: Eukaryota; Fungi; Basidiomycota; Agaricomycetes; Agaricales; Cortinariaceae
Description: sequence contains ITS1
Source: RNAcentral
UUGAAUGAACUUGGUGUGGUUGUUGCUGGCCCUUUCGGGGGCAUGUGCACGCCCACCAUCCUCAUCUCUCCACCUGUGCACUUCUUGUAGACUUGGAUUCACUUUCCGAGGCAACUCGGUCGGGAGGACUUGCUGGCACUACCUGGCUUUCCUUGCAUUUCCAAGUCUACGUUUUUCAUAUACCCAAUUGAAUGUAACAGAAUGUAACAUUGGGCCCUUGUGCCUAUAAAAACUUAUA